GACGAACGCUGGCGGCGUGCUUAACACAUGCAAGUCGAACGCUGAACCCGCUUCGGUGGGGGAUGAGUGGCGAACGGGUGAGUAACACGUGGGCAACCUGCCCCCGGCUCUGGGAUAACUCCAAGAAAUUGGGGCUAAUACCGGAUGUGACCGCUGGCCGCAUGGUCUGGUGGUGGAAAGGGUUUCCGGCUGGGGAUGGGCCCGCGGCCUAUCAGCUUGUUGGUGGGGUAGUGGCCUACCAAGGCGACGACGGGUAGCCGGCCUGAGAGGGUGACCGGCCACACUGGGACUGGGACGCGGCCCAGACUCCUACGGGAGGCAGCAGUGGGGAAUAUUGCGCAAUGGGCGGAAGCCUGACGCAGCGACGCCGCGUGGGAGAUGACGGCCUUCGGGUUGUAAACCUCUUUCAGCAGGGACGAAGCGCAAGUGACGGUACCUGCAGAAGAAGCACCGGCCAACUACGUG
This 465-nucleotide ribosomal RNA is filed under the name uncultured bacterium. RNAcentral's name for it is "partial 16S ribosomal RNA". It matches the Rfam family "Bacterial small subunit ribosomal RNA", at positions 28 to 507 of the family's 1533-position model. The record is from RNAcentral.